RNAcentral lists this ribosomal RNA (751 nucleotides) under uncultured bacterium. RNAcentral describes it as "bacterial SSU rRNA". It matches the Rfam family "Bacterial small subunit ribosomal RNA", at positions 116 to 855 of the family's 1533-position model. The record is from RNAcentral.
CGUGGGGAAUCUGCCUUUGAGCGGGGGACAACCUUUGGAAACGAAUGCUAAUACCGCAUAAAAACUUUAAACACAAGUUUUAAGUUUGAAAGAUGCAAUUGCAUCACUCAAAGAUGAUCCCGCGUUGUAUUAGCUAGUUGGUGAGGUAAAGGCUCACCAAGGCGAUGAUACAUAGCCGACCUGAGAGGGUGAUCGGCCACAUUGGGACUGAGACACGGCCCAAACUCCUACGGGAGGCAGCAGUAGGGAAUCUUCGGCAAUGGACGAAAGUCUGACCGAGCAACGCCGCGUGAGUGAAGAAGGUUUUCGGAUCGUAAAACUCUGUUGGUAGAGAAGAACGUUGGUGAGAGUGGAAAGCUCAUCAAGUGACGGUAACUACCCAGAAAGGGACGGCUAACUACGUGCCAGCAGCCGCGGUAAUACGUAGGUCCCGAGCGUUGUCCGGAUUUAUUGGGCGUAAAGCGAGCGCAGGUGGUUUAUUGAGUCUGGUGUAAAAGGCAGUGGCUCAACCAUUGUAUGCAUUGGAAACUGGUAGACUUGAGUGCAGGAGAGGAGAGUGGAAUUCCAUGUGUAGCGGUGAAAUGCGUAGAUAUAUGGAGGAACACCGGUGGCGAAAGCGGCUCUCUGGCCUGUAACUGACACUGAGGCUCGAAAGCGUGGGGAGCAAACAGGAUUAGAUACCCUGGUAGUCCACGCCGUAAACGAUGAGUGCUAGAUGUAGGGAGCUAUAAGUUCUCUGUAUCGCAGCUAA